CUUUUUACAAUAGUUUUACAAGAUUUACAAUCGUUUUUUAAGCAUAAGUAAGUGGCAUUGAAUGAUUUAUAAGGGAUUUUAAAAGCUUAUAAAAGGGUAAAACAUGAUUUACAAUCAUUUUAAAGCAUAAGUAAGUGACAUAAAAUGAUUUACAAUGGAUUUAAAAAGGGUUAGCAUGGUUUACAAUCGUUUUUAGCAUAAGUAAGUGGCAUUGAAUGAUUUACAAGGGAUUUUAAAAGCUUAUAAAAUGGUAAAAUAUGAUUUACAAUCGUUUUUAAAGCAUAAGUAAGUGGCAUAUAGGGGUGUCAAACGGACUGGCCCGCGACCAAACGGGCUGUCCGCGAUGGGCCAUUCUUCUUUCCAGUCCAUAACGGGCCGGCCCGCUAACGACCGCGGGCGACAAAACGAAGCCCAUACCCGCCCCGCAUUGCCCAUUGGUCUAACGGGCCGGCCCGCGGGCUAUGACAUAUGCAGAGCUAAUCAUUCUUCUAGUUUCUCCUUUCCCUACAAAACCUGUGCAGCCACAUAUCU
RNAcentral lists this small RNA (531 nucleotides) under Arabidopsis thaliana (thale cress). RNAcentral describes it as "ATSL100380". Lineage: Eukaryota; Viridiplantae; Streptophyta; Magnoliopsida; Brassicales; Brassicaceae. The record is from RNAcentral.